AUACGGAAGGUGCAAGCGUUAAUCGGAAUCACUGGGCGUAAAGCGCACGUAGGCUGUUUGGUAAGUCAGGGGUGAGAUCCCGCAGCUCAACUGCGGAAUUGCCCUUGAUACUGCUGGACUUGAGUUCGGGAGAGGGUGGCGGAAUUCCAGGUGUAGGAGUGAAAUCCGUAGAUAUCUGGAGGAACAUCAGUGGCGAAGGCGGCCACCUGGACCGAUACUGACGCUGAGGUGCGAAAGCGUGGGGAGC
This 247-nucleotide ribosomal RNA is filed under the name uncultured bacterium. RNAcentral's name for it is "partial 16S ribosomal RNA". It matches the Rfam family "Bacterial small subunit ribosomal RNA", at positions 523 to 769 of the family's 1533-position model. The record is from RNAcentral.